AUGAACGCUGGCGGCGUGCUUAACACAUGCAAGUCGAACGGAAAGGCUCCUGCUUGCCGGGGCACUCGAGUGGCGAACGGGUGAGUAACACGUGGGUGAUCUGCCCUGCACUUCGGGAUAAGCCUGGGAAACUGGGUCUAAUACCGGAUAGGACCAUCGUUUAGUGUCGGUGGUGGAAAGUUUUUUCGGUGUGGGAUGAGCUCGCGGCCUAUCAGCUUGUUGGUGGGGUAAUGGCCUACCAAGGCGUCGACGGGUAGCCGGCCUGAGAGGGUGUACGGCCACAUUGGGACUGAGAUACGGCCCAGACUCCUACGGGAGGCAGCAGUGGGGAAUAUUGCACAAUGGGCGCAAGCCUGAUGCAGCGACGCCGCGUGGGGGAUGACGGCCUUCGGGUUGUAAACUCCUUUCGCCAGGGACGAAGCGAAAGUGACGGUACCUGGAUAAGAAGCACCGGCUAACUACGUG
This 465-nucleotide ribosomal RNA is filed under the name uncultured bacterium. RNAcentral's name for it is "partial 16S ribosomal RNA". It matches the Rfam family "Bacterial small subunit ribosomal RNA", at positions 29 to 507 of the family's 1533-position model. The record is from RNAcentral.